This 5241-nucleotide long non-coding RNA is filed under the name Lactuca sativa (garden lettuce). Its description in RNAcentral is "long non-coding RNA (LSAT_LNC005397)". The record is from RNAcentral. Lineage: Eukaryota; Viridiplantae; Streptophyta; Magnoliopsida; Asterales; Asteraceae.
GAAUGAAAAGAAAGUACAACACUAUAAUAUACAAAUAAAAGAAAGUAUGUUUUUUUUUUUUUAAAUUGUUUUUUGAAUUGGCGAAAGGUAAGGAAAAGAUGGACUAUACUUAUGCACCUGGAAGGAAUCAUUUGUUUGUUCCGGGACCCGUGAACAUCCCGGAUCAAGUACUUCGUGCAAUGAACCGAAACAAUGAAGACUANACUUGAAAGUACAAUGAUGUGAUAGAAUGAAAAGAAAGUACAACACUAUAAUAUACAAAUAAAAGAAAGUUGUUUUUUUUUUUUUAAAUUGUUUUUUGAAUUGGCGAAAGGUAAGGAAAAGAUGGACUAUACUUAUGCACCUGGAAGGAAUCAUUUGUUUGUUCCGGGACCCGUGAACAUCCCGGAUCAAGUACUUCGUGCAAUGAACCGAAACAAUGAAGACUAUCGGUCUCCAGCAGUUCCCGCUUUGACUAAAAUUUUACUUGAAGAUGUGAAGAAGAUUUUCAAAACCACUUCGGGGACCCCUUUUCUCAUCCCAACUACAGGUAUAUUAUUUUCUUUUCUCUAGGGUUAAAUAUCAACAUAUAGUUACUUAUUGCAAUAUUUUGGGUUAGGUACGGGUGCAUGGGAAAGUGCACUUACAAACACCUUGUCUCCUGGAGACCGAAUUGUGUCAUUUGUGAUUGGACAAUUCAGUUUGCUUUGGGUGGAUCAACAGCAACGACUUGGGUUCAAUGUUGAUGUGGUGGAAAGUGAAUGGGGUGCGGGUGCUAACUUGGAAGUUUUAGCAUCAAAACUGGCUGCAGAUACUGCGCAUACUAUUAAGGCUGUCUGCAUUGUUCACAAUGAGACUGCCACCGGAGUUACAAACAACUUGGCUUCCGUAAGGAAAAUACUUGGUAAAAUCAUUUUGCUUUUUUUAGUUUUUUAUCGCAUCAUAUUCAUAUUAUUACAUCCAUCUAAACUCGCCUUCUUAAUUAUUUUGUUUUAAGCGACUUAAUAUGGUAAGUUAAGUGAAAGAGAUGUUCCCUUAUUUUCUAUCUUUUGUUAUUGGUCAACCUCUAACAUUAGUAUGGUAAAAUCCAGGAAAAUAUAAUUUACUUUGUCAGUUCCUGUUUAACAACUUUAUCGAUUUAAUCAUUUAACUGUUUUCUAUAGUAAAUAAACGAUUAUACUUUUUUACUGUCAUUGUUUUUAUUAUUGUCAUUAGGAUGAAAUAAUAUUAUCUCUAGAAACAAGUGGUUUAAAUUUUAAAAGUCCUUUUUCUUGUACUUUGUAACUUUUACUAGCUCCUUGAUAGUUGUUUUUCAAUAAAUUUGGGUGGCUGUUUAAAAUAAAAAUUACAAUUUAUAACAAUCAAUAAUAAUAAUGUUUUUUAAUUUUGAAUGGUAACGUAUAAUGGUUUAUUUACUACAUAUAAAAUAGUUAACUUCUUAAUCAUAAAAUUAUGACAGUAGGUAAUGAUUUUGUAUAUUAUACAUUUAUUUAUACUGAUACCAAAAUUUGGUAACAAGGAAAAAUAGUAAUAAUUUAGAAUAGUCAAAAAAAUAUGUAAUGAUUUAAUCACACUUGAGAAAACAGUCAACUGAUGCAAUCGACAGAUGGUAAUUAAGUACGCUGUGAUUUUUUGUAUACAUUACCGGUAUAAAAAUAAAAACGGGUUUUAAACGGUAAAAAGUGUAUGAUCACCACAGAUUAAUCGAUAAAUGGUUAAUUAAAAUACAUUGUCCUUUUCUUAAUUUUUGUGUAUUAAAAUAGUAUUUUGUUGGGUAAGUAAUAAGUUUUGUAAAUUUGGUAAUAUAUAUGUUAGAUCACUACCAGCACCCGGCCCUGUUUCUAGUUGAUGGGGUGUCAUCAAUAUGCGCUUUGGAUUUCCGCAUGGAUGAAUGGGGUGUAGAUGUGGCUUUAACCGGUUCUCAGAAAGCACUUUCCCUUCCCACCGGUAUGGGAAUCGUGUGUGCGAGCCCUAAAGCCAUCGAGGCCUCUCAAACUGCAAAAUCACUUCGAGUUUUCUUUGACUGGAAAGAUUACUUGAAAUUCUACAAAAUGGGGACUUAUUGGCCCUACACUCCUUCCAUUCAGCUUCUCUAUGGCCUAAAAGCUGCCCUUGAUCUCAUCUUUGAAGAAGGCUUGGAUAAUGUUAUUGCAAGGCACAAUCGUCUUGGCACUGCCACAAGGUAUAUAAAUUAUUUACAUUAAUAUCAACAAACUUAACUUUCUAUUUACUUUAUAGUUUAUACUACUAAUAAAUAAAUAUGUAUGUGUAAUGAAGGCUGGCUGUUGAAGCAUGGGGGUUGAAAAACUGCACCCAAAAGGAGGAAUGGUUCAGUGACACAGUCACAGCUGUGGUUGUUCCUCCAUAUAUUGAUAGCUCUGAAAUUGUUAGAAGGGGAUGGAAAAGAUACAACUUAAGCUUGGGUCUUGGCCUUAACAAAGUAGCUGGAAAAGUCUUCAGAAUAGGACAUCUUGGCCAUGUUAAUGACGUAAGCAUACAUACAUACAUACAUGCAUAUGUCUAUCGAUGUUACAAAAUUAAGAAUUAAUAAAUGAAUGUGUGUGUAGUUGCAACUGCUGGGGUGUCUUGCGGGGGUGGAGAUGGUGCUCAAGGAUGUGGGAUACCCGGUGAAGCUGGGGAGUGGAGUGGCUGCUGCUUGUGCAUAUCUACAGAACAACAUUCCCAUGAUUCCAUCAAGGAUUUGAAUUCUGUCAGUGUCACUGUCAGUGUCAAUUGUGUUUAUGUAUGUAACUACUGCAUGCUACUCCUCUUCUUCAAUGUUGAUUUGCUUCAAAUUAAUACCUUUGUAAAGAACACUUAAAUAUCCUACUUUACUUCAAUCAUCUUCAUUUGUAAAUUCUUGUUUUCUCAUUACAUCCAUGAAUAUGCCUUUGAGUUGAAAAAUUAUGUGUGACCAAAUUCAAAUCUAUAUCAACUACCAUCACCCACACAAUAUUAAAUGUGAGCUUGUUGCUUGUUAGUACAAGAGGUUUUGACAAUUGACCCACUAUGGAAGUGAGACUUGAGAGUUGAGAGCCUACUCAUAUAGAAAAUCGAUGGGCUUAGUUAGAAAAGCUCUUUGCUAUUAUCAAUAUAAAUCUAUUGGUUUGCAAAAUUAGGGCGAUUAGUAAACGAUUAUAGUGGGAUGAUCAUAAUUAAGAACAACAUGACACCUUACUAUUUGGACUGAAAGUGUUGUGAAUCUCAUGAUUAAUUGGGUCUCAUGAUUAACAUGGUCGAUGCAUUACAACCAAAUCCCCUCAAGAAUCCUAGUGCCAACCUAUUUAAGUGGAGUCUUUCCUCACUUUAAGGGGGUUGAGAGGCAUUGAUAUUCAUACUUUAAGGUUUAGCAAUCCAUUCUUUGCACUUUAUUGGUUGGAUGUUGAUUCUUGCAUGUGUCUAUUAGAUGGAAGCUACUUUGGUUCCUAUACCAUACAUGGAGUUCAACACUACAUCAUCCAAAGUACACCUCAAUCUAAGUUUUACUAUAAAACACAAUAUGGUAGUGAUUGUUGCUUAAAUACUCUCAAGGAUUAUUGAUAAGAACACUUUUGAGGACAUAAUCAAAUGUAGCUUAAUGCUUGCAAUUAAUCGAAAGAAAGCCUGAAAUUCGAGACUCAAGAGGAUCUCCAAAAACGAAAAUAAGGUUCUAAAUCUUCUACCACCGAGAGGUCGGCUCCCUCUCUACUUAGUCUAACGCUAGCUGAAAAUUAGGAAGCAAAUACUUCAAAUGAAAGCAUAAUCCAAAAAGAUACAUAUCAAAAUUAACUAAUGAUGUUUUUUUUAGCAAAAUAACUAAUCGCCCCUUUGCAAUUUCUUUCCACGCCUCUGAUAAGCUUUGGCGACCCAGCCCAUUCAUAUCAACCCCCCCUCUUUAUGAAAAAUCACCUGGAAAUCGGUGUUGAGUAUCCUCACGUUCCUCUCAUGUAGUUCAAAUGGAAGCUCGAUAAGCACUUGUUGUCACUAACCACGUUGGUGUCAAGAAAGAAAGGCACGAAUACUAAGGUGCUGUUUGGUUUUUUUUUUUUUUUUUUUUUUUUUUUUUUUUUUUAAAAAAAAACCUCUUCAGAUUUUUUAUUGCUACUGGACGCAACACACACCAAACACUUUUAAUCUCGUAGUUGUUUGUUUUUUAGAAGUCUUCAGAGUAAAAAAUCUCAGUGCGUGUUCUGUUUGGCGCAUCACUUGUAUUGCCUCUUUCAACCACUUUUUUUAUUUUUUAUUUUUUUUUUGCUGAAAUCUUUAUUAUAUGUUGCUGAAAUAUUCUUUUACAUUUUUUUUUCGUUUUUUUAUAUUAAAUAAUAAUAAUUUCUUGAUGAACAUUAUUAUUUUUUUUGCUAAAAUAUCUUUAUUUUUUUGUUGAAAUAUCAUUAUUUUGUUGAAAUAUCAUAAAUUAUUGCUAAAAUGUCAUACAUUAUUAAAUUUUCGGUAUUAACAAAACUAUUUUCGAUUUAUAAAAUCAAUUUAUUUUAAUUUUUAAUAUCUGCAGCAGCAUGUAGAUAUUAAAAAAACAAACACGUUUCUUAUUAUAAUAUGCAGCCGUUUGGUCCACCUCUUCUACUGUAGAGGGUAGCGGAGGUGGUCCACAGACUUCAUGAAUUUUUUAUUAAAAAAACAAACAACACCUAAAUAAGUUUUGGAAGGAUUUUAUUUUAUUUUAUUAAUUGGUCUUUAUGUGGCCAAUAUGCUAAUGCCAGUUUUAUAUGUUUACUAUACUAUGAACGUGUUCGACAAAAAUAGCUGGUAGCGUGUAACGAGUAGCGUUUGAUUUUGGAGAGUUUUGUUCAAAGCUUCUCCAUGUAGCUUUUGAUUUUGGAACAUUUUGUUUAAAGUAAAAACUAAACGCUCCUGUUGUUGCCGAACGAAGUUUGUUUUUUUGUUUAUUUUUUUUAUACAAGUGUUUUCUUAAAAACUAGAAGCCAGAAGCUCCUAAAUGCCACGUGCCGAACACGCCCAAGUAUUUCUUGAAGCCUAUGUUUGAAGGAGAGAUUUUUUUGAUAAAACUAUAAAAGUAAUAUUUGUUUGAGUAGAGUCGCUCUAUAUCAAAAUUGUCUCGUUGAUUGUCUUUUCUUUCCCGUUUGUAGUGUGUUUUUCAUUGUAGUUGCAUCACACCUUCUUGAGCUACGACACAUGGAAAACUGGGUGAAUGGAAGCGAUGGACGACAAUAAACUGAGUGGGCCAGGUUGGAAAACCUGGCGAGUACAUAGGGAUUUCAAUCCCACAAUGUGAUAAUAAUGUAUAUCUCAAACCUGCAAUCCAAC